This is a long non-coding RNA of Archocentrus centrarchus (flier cichlid), 448 nucleotides long. RefSeq lists it as uncharacterized. The record is from RefSeq and is a predicted model, not a curated record. The transcript is spliced from 4 exons. Lineage: Eukaryota; Metazoa; Chordata; Actinopteri; Cichliformes; Cichlidae.
CGUGGUGCCUCCAUUGUUACUGAAGUCAGGUGUGAUUUGAGUUUGAGAAUGAGGUCCGGAGGUGCUGCAGUACAGCAUCACCUGUCAGGAGCUGCCCUAAGGUUCUGGAGUUGAGAGAAAUAUAUCAGCGCCGACCAUUCACCACACCACUCAAAAUACUAUAGACUCACGACUGAAGGAGUACAUUGAGAGUUUGAUGGGGAGAGAGCAACGAUCACAGAGGUGAAAGUUAAGACCCUCGCUCCGAGGAGAGUUCCCGGGCCAGUGAUCUCAUCAGUCUGAUUUUGUCUUUUCCAGGGGAAGAUUAUGCAAGCCACACCAUUGAUAGAAGGAUUUCAGAGGAUGUAGCCAGCCUGUACAGCCGAGGAAUCAGUGCCCGAACCGAACAGUCAGACGUUUCUGAAGAUGUUGCUACAGCAGCCAGUGACAGCUUGGAUACAUUAAAAAG